AGUCGAACGGGAAUCUUCGGAUUCUAGUGGCGGACGGGUGAGUAACGCGUAAGAAUCUAACUUCAGGACGGGGACAACAGUUGGAAACGACUGCUAAUACCCGAUGUGCCGAAAGGUGAAACCUAAUUGGCCUGAAGAAGAGCUUGCGUCUGAUUAGCUAGUUGGUGGGGUAAAGGCCUACCAAGGCGACGAUCAGUAGCUGGUCUGAGAGGAUGAGCAGCCACACUGGGACUGAGACACGGCCCAGACUCCUACGGGAGGCAGCAGUGGGGAAUUUUCCGCAAUGGGCGAAAGCCUGACGGAGCAACGCCGCGUGAGGGAGGAAGGUCUUUGGAUUGUAAACCUCUUUUCUCAAGGAAGAAGUUCUGACGGUACUUGAGGAAUCAGCCUCGGCUAACUCCGUGCCAGCAGCCGCGGUAAUACGGGGGAGGCAAGCGUUAUCCGGAAUUAUUGGGCGUAAAGCGUCCGCAGGUGGUCAGCCAAGUCUGCCGUCAAAUCAGGUUGCUUAACGACCUAAAGGCGGUGGAAACUGGCAGACUAGAGAGCAGUAGGGGUAGCAGGAAUUCCCAGUGUAGCGGUGAAAUGCGUAGAGAUUGGGAAGAACAUCGGUGGCGAAAGCGUGCUACUGGGCUGUAUCUGACACUCAGGGACGAAAGCUAGGGGAGCGAAAGGGAUUAGAUACCCCUGUAGUCCUAGCCGUAAACGAUGGAUACUAGGCGUGGCUUGUAUCGACCCGAGCCGUGCCGAAGCUAACGCGUUAAGUAUCCCGCCUGGGGAGUACGCACGCAAGUGUGAAACUCAAAGGAAUUGACGGGGGCCCGCACAAGCGGNGGAGUAUGUGGUUUAAUUCGAUGCAACGCGAANA
RNAcentral lists this ribosomal RNA (865 nucleotides) under uncultured bacterium. RNAcentral's name for it is "bacterial SSU rRNA". It matches the Rfam family "Bacterial small subunit ribosomal RNA", at positions 60 to 967 of the family's 1533-position model. The record is from RNAcentral.